RNAcentral lists this ribosomal RNA (468 nucleotides) under uncultured bacterium. RNAcentral's name for it is "partial 16S ribosomal RNA". It matches the Rfam family "Bacterial small subunit ribosomal RNA", at positions 28 to 507 of the family's 1533-position model. The record is from RNAcentral.
GACGAACGCUGGCGGCGUGCUUAACACAUGCAAGUCGAACGGAAAGGCCCUGCUUUUGUGGGGUGCUCGAUUGGCGAACGGGUGAGUAACACGCGUGUAACCUGCCCUUGACUUUGUGAUAACUCUAGGAAACUGGGGCUAAUACCGGAUAGGAGCUCCUGCUGCAUGGUGGGGGUUGGAAAGUUUCGGCGGUUGGGGAUGGACUCGCGGCUUAUCAGCUUGUUGGUGGGGUAGUGGCUUACCAAGGCUUUGACGGGUAGCCGGCCUGAGAGGGUGACCGGCGACAAUGGGACUGAGAUACGGCCCAGACGCCUACGGGCGGCAGCAGUGGAGAAUAUUGCGCAAUAGGCGGAAGCCUGAUGCAGCAGCGCCGCGUGCGGGAUGCCGGCCUACGAGUUGUAAACCGCUUUGGACUGUGACGAAGCGUGAGUGACGGUAAUGGGUAAGGAAGCACCGGCUAACUACGUG